Long non-coding RNA from Enhydra lutris kenyoni (northern sea otter), 190 nucleotides. RefSeq lists it as uncharacterized. The record is from RefSeq and is a predicted model, not a curated record. Lineage: Eukaryota; Metazoa; Chordata; Mammalia; Carnivora; Mustelidae. The transcript is spliced from 2 exons.
AAGGCAGACACUGAACGACUGAGCCACCCAGGUAACACAUGCACAGAAGAAAGAGGACAAUGUGAAGACACAGAAGAUGAUCGUCUACAAGCCAAGGAGAGAGACUUCAGAAGAAACCACUGCUAACACAUUGAUCUCAGAUUUGUAGCCUCCAGAAUUGUGAGAAAAUAAAUUUCUGUUGUUUAAGCCA